Molecule: long non-coding RNA, 217 nt
Filed under: Lathyrus oleraceus (garden pea)
Lineage: Eukaryota; Viridiplantae; Streptophyta; Magnoliopsida; Fabales; Fabaceae
Description: Pisum sativum (pea) long non-coding RNA (PSAT_LNC008859)
Source: RNAcentral
UGAUCUCACAACUUUAUUUGGAAAAUUCAAAUAACAUGAGCAAGAACUCACUUGCUUGGAAAAACAUGAAGAAAAAAAAAGCAUUAGAAGAAGAUGAAGAAGGAGAAAGGUAAAGACAAUGAGGUAGAGAAGAAGUCUAUUUCUCUAAAGAAUUCAAGCUCAAAGUCCUCAAACAAUGAGCAAAGUGAUGGUGAAACAAGAGAUGACAAGAAUCCCG